This 398-nucleotide ribosomal RNA is filed under the name uncultured bacterium. Its description in RNAcentral is "partial 16S ribosomal RNA". It matches the Rfam family "Bacterial small subunit ribosomal RNA", at positions 523 to 918 of the family's 1533-position model. The record is from RNAcentral.
AUACGUAUGGGGCAAGCGUUAUCCGGAUUUAUUGGGCGUAAAGCGCGCGUAGGCGGCUUGUUAAGUCAGGUGUGAAAUCCGGGGGCUCAACCCGCGGCUUGCACCUGAAACUGGCAGGCUUGAGUCUGGUAGAGGGAAGGGGAAUUCCUGGUGUAGCGGUGAAAUGCGCAGAUAUCAGGAGGAACACCAGUGGCGAAGGCGGCUUUCUGGGCCACGACUGACGCUGAGGCGCGAAAGCUAGGGGAGCGAACAGGAUUAGAUACCCUGGUAGUCCUAGCCGUAAACGAUGGGCACUAGGUGUGGGGGGUCAUCGACUCCCUCCGUGCCGAAGCUAACGCAUUAAGUGCCCCGCCUGGGGAGUACGGCCGCAAGGCUAAAACUCAAAUGAAUUGACGGGG